Molecule: signal recognition particle RNA, 315 nt
Filed under: Methanothrix sp.
Lineage: Archaea; Methanobacteriati; Methanobacteriota; Methanomicrobia; Methanotrichales; Methanotrichaceae
Description: signal recognition particle sRNA
Rfam family: Archaeal signal recognition particle RNA
Source: RNAcentral
UGGCGGGCAGUCCGGGUGGUUCGGCGUCACCUGUAACCCGAAAUCGUCGACAAGCGGGGGGCGAAGCUGACGGAAGACUCUGGGCGCUGUGUGCUCAGUCCAGUUGCUAACUAUGAUUCUCCGUCCUGCAGGGAUAGCACCGGUUCAUGGACCUUCCUGAAGGGAGGUCUAUGUACCAUAAUUGCGGGAACAGGUUCAGGCCCGGAAGGGAGCAGACCCACCGCGGGUAACUGUCGCUUACAGGUUUAAGGGGAGGAGGAAGCUUCGGGAUUAACUGGCAUGCAAGCUCGGUGGCAACCGCCGGCGUGCCCGCCA